CCUACGGGGGGCAGCAGUGGGGAAUCUUCCGCAAUGGGCGAAAGCCUGACGGAGCAACGCCGCGUGAUCGAAUGAAGGCCUUCGGGUUGUAAAGAUCUGUUGACCGGGACGAAUAAGCUCUGCAAAUAGUUUUGUGUAUGACGGUACCUGUUUAGAAAGCUCCGGCUAACUACGUGCCAGCCGCCGCGGUAAUACGUAGGGAGCAAGGGUUGUCUGGAAUUACUGGGCGUAAAGGGCGCGUAGGGGGGCGCUUAAGUAAGGUGUGAAAACUCCGGGCUCAACCUGGAGACUGCACUUGAAACUGGGUGUCUUGAGGUCAGGACAGGAAAGUGGAAUUCCUAGUGUA
This 346-nucleotide ribosomal RNA is filed under the name uncultured bacterium. Its description in RNAcentral is "partial 16S ribosomal RNA". It matches the Rfam family "Bacterial small subunit ribosomal RNA", at positions 338 to 677 of the family's 1533-position model. The record is from RNAcentral.